Molecule: ribosomal RNA, 694 nt
Filed under: uncultured Snodgrassella sp.
Lineage: Bacteria; Pseudomonadati; Pseudomonadota; Betaproteobacteria; Neisseriales; Neisseriaceae
Description: bacterial SSU rRNA
Rfam family: Bacterial small subunit ribosomal RNA
Source: RNAcentral
UAGAAUUCCACGUGUAGCAGUGAAAUGCGUAGAGAUGUGGAGGAAUACCGAUGGCGAAGGCAGCCUCCUGGGAUAACACUGACGUUCAUGCUCGAAAGCGUGGGUAGCAAACAGGAUUAGAUACCCUGGUAGUCCACGCCCUAAACGAUGACAAUUAGCUGUUGGGACACUAGAUGUUUUAGUAGCGAAGCUAACGCGUGAAAUUGUCCGCCUGGGGAGUACGGCCGCAAGAUUAAAACUCAAAGGAAUUGACGGGGACCCGCACAAGCGGUGGAUGAUGUGGAUUAAUUCGAUGCAACGCGAAGAACCUUACCUGGUCUUGACAUGUACGGAAUCUCUUAGAGAUAGGAGAGUGCCUUCGGGAGCCGUAACACAGGUGCUGCAUGGCUGUCGUCAGCUCGUGUCGUGAGAUGUUGGGUUAAGUCCCGCAACGAGCGCAACCCUUGUCAUUAGUUGCCAUCAUUAAGUUGGGCACUCUAAUGAGACUGCCGGUGACAAACCGGAGGAAGGUGGGGAUGACGUCAAGUCCUCAUGGCCCUUAUGACCAGGGCUUCACACGUCAUACAAUGGUCGGUACAGAGGGUAGCGAAGCCGCGAGGUGAAGCCAAUCUCAGAAAGCCGAUCGUAGUCCGGAUUGCACUCUGCAACUCGAGUGCAUGAAGUCGGAAUCGCUAGUAAUCGCAGGUCAGCAUAC